GAAAAUAUGAUUCUUCGUUCACAAACCGAAGGUAAUUAGGGUCAUACCCAACCUAACUCUUUUUCCCUCCAUUAUCACUUCAUUCAGCUCUACUCUAUUAACCUUCGUUUCUCAUUUUCCUUUUAUCAUUUCAUGUUUCGUCAUCUUCCAUUCCCAAACCCUAACCACCGUCAUCAAUGGUUCCGUCAAAAAUCAAGCGGAGGCCGGCGGCCAAAGAAGAAAAUUUACCACCGUGUUCCCGAACUCGACAGAGUAAUGCACCUCCGCAAAAGACCCUCCUCCAUCCUCCACCUCAAUUCCAUCCUCCAAUCCCAACACAAGUCCAACCACUCCCUCCUCCUCCGCGAUCUCGAGAAACACGUCGGCUUCGUCCAGAAGUGGGACUUCAUGUCAUUGAUUCAACGAUACCCUACCAUUUUCCGCGUCCGAGGGGUUCCUCCCUCCGUCUCCCUCACGGCCAAGGCGGAGAAGGUUGCGGCGGAGGAAGGAAGGGCUAGGAUGAUGAUGGAGCCGUUGUUGGUUAAUAAGUUGAGGAAGUUGUUGAUGUUGUGUGUUGAUUGUAGGGUUCCGGUUGAAACCGUUGAGCUUGUUGGUUAAUAAGUUGAGGAAGUUGUUGAUGUUGUGUGUUGAUUGUAGGGUUCCG
RNAcentral lists this long non-coding RNA (643 nucleotides) under Lupinus mutabilis. Its description in RNAcentral is "partial ncRNA". Lineage: Eukaryota; Viridiplantae; Streptophyta; Magnoliopsida; Fabales; Fabaceae. The record is from RNAcentral.